This 425-nucleotide ribosomal RNA is filed under the name uncultured bacterium. RNAcentral describes it as "partial 16S ribosomal RNA". It matches the Rfam family "Bacterial small subunit ribosomal RNA", at positions 354 to 796 of the family's 1533-position model. The record is from RNAcentral.
GUGGGGAAUCUUGCGCAAUGGGCGAAAGCCUGACGCAGCCAUGCCGCGUGAAUGAUGAAGGUCUUAGGAUUGUAAAAUUCUUUCACCGGGGACGAUAAUGACGGUACCCGGAGAAGAAGCCCCGGCUAACUUCGUGCCAGCAGCCGCGGUAAUACGAAGGGGGCUAGCGUUGCUCGGAAUUACUGGGCGUAAAGGGCGCGUAGGCGGACAGUUUAGUCAGAGGUGAAAGCCCAGGGCUCAACCUUGGAAUUGCCUUUGAUACUGGCUGUCUUGAGUACGGGAGAGGUGAGUGGAACUCCGAGUGUAGAGGUGAAAUGCGUAGAUAUUCGGAAGAACACCAGUGGCGAAGGCGACUCACUGGCCCGUUACUGACGCUGAGGCGCGAAAGCGUGGGGAGCAAACAGGAUUAGAAACCCCAGUAGUCC